CGUCUUGAGCCUUUAAUAACUAUGCAUAGAACUAGAAGAAACCAAUGGAUCAAGAGAAACAAAUUCACGAUUUAUUUGCAUAAAAUAGAUAGUAAAUAAUCAUCAUAAAAUCUUUAAAUAUGUAAAGAUUCUAAAACCUAUUUACAGAGUUUUUUAACCCUAAUUACAUUAGGAUUAGGAACCAUUAUUCCAAUUCUAAUUAGAAAUACUAAACAAAAUAAACUUCCUAAAUAAUAAUAAUAGUA
Molecule: unclassified non-coding RNA, 245 nt
Filed under: Hevea brasiliensis (rubber tree)
Lineage: Eukaryota; Viridiplantae; Streptophyta; Magnoliopsida; Malpighiales; Euphorbiaceae
Source: RNAcentral